Molecule: non-coding RNA, 67 nt
Organism: Eublepharis macularius
Lineage: Eukaryota; Metazoa; Chordata; Lepidosauria; Squamata; Eublepharidae
Source: the annotation of a RefSeq genome assembly
GAGUGAUUAGUCUAUAUAAGACAAUUAAUUUCGACUUAAUAAAACCUAUAAACUAUAGGAUCACUAA